RNAcentral lists this transfer RNA (48 nucleotides) under Spermophilus musicus (Caucasian mountain ground squirrel). Its description in RNAcentral is "partial tRNA-Pro". The record is from RNAcentral. Lineage: Eukaryota; Metazoa; Chordata; Mammalia; Rodentia; Sciuridae.
CAGGGAAUAGUUUAAGUAAGAAUAUCAGCUUUGGGAGUUGAAGGUGGA